Molecule: ribosomal RNA, 279 nt
Filed under: uncultured bacterium
Lineage: Bacteria
Description: partial 16S ribosomal RNA
Rfam family: Bacterial small subunit ribosomal RNA
Source: RNAcentral
UGCCAGCCGCCGCGGUAAUACGGAGGGUGCAAGCGUUGUUCGGAAUUAUUGGGCGUAAAGCGCGUGUAGGCGGUUCGUUAAGUCUGAUGUGAAAGCCCGGGGCUCAACCCCGGAAGUGCAUUGGAAACUGGCGAACUUGAGUACGGGAGAGGAAAGUGGAAUUCCGAGUGUAGGGGUGAAAUUCGUAGAUAUCGGGAGGAAUACCAGUGGCGAAGGCGCUGGCCUGGAGGGAGACUGACGCUGAGGUGCGAAAGCGUGGGGAGCGAACAGGAUUAGAUA